UGAGCAAUCUGCCCUUCACAUCGGAAUAAGCGUUGGAAACGACGUCUAAUGCCGAAUACGACCUCCUUUCGCAUGAUCGGAGGUGGAAAGCUCCGGCGGAGAAGGAUGAGCUCGCGGCCUAUCAGCUAGUUGGUGUGGGUAAUGGCUCACCAAGGCGACGACGGGUAGCCGGCCUGAGAGGGUGACCGGCCACACUGGGACUGAGACACGGCCCAGACUCCUAGGGAGG
This 229-nucleotide ribosomal RNA is filed under the name uncultured bacterium. RNAcentral's name for it is "partial 16S ribosomal RNA". It matches the Rfam family "Bacterial small subunit ribosomal RNA", at positions 118 to 348 of the family's 1533-position model. The record is from RNAcentral.